RNAcentral lists this ribosomal RNA (384 nucleotides) under uncultured bacterium. Its description in RNAcentral is "bacterial SSU rRNA". It matches the Rfam family "Bacterial small subunit ribosomal RNA", at positions 30 to 414 of the family's 1533-position model. The record is from RNAcentral.
AUUGAACGCUGGCGGCAUGCCUUACACAUGCAAGUCGAACGGCAGCACGGGAGCAAUCCUGGUGGCGAGUGGCGAACGGGUGAGUAAUAUAUCGGAACGUGCCCGGUCGUGGGGGAUAACGUAGUGAAAGCUACGCUAAUACCGCAUACGAUCUACGGAUGAAAGCGGGGGAUCGCAAGACCUCGCGCGAUUGGAGCGGCCGAUAUCAGAUUAGGUAGUUGGUGAGGUAAAGGCUCACCAAGCCGACGAUCUGUAGCUGGUCUGAGAGGACGACCAGCCACACUGGGACUGAGACACGGCCCAGACUCCUACGGGAGGCAGCAGUGGGGAAUUUUGGACAAUGGGCGUAAGCCUGAUCCAGCAAUGCCGCGUGCAGGAUGAAGC